GGCGGCAGGAGGAAAAUAGCCGUCGGCAGGAAGAAAAUCGCCGUCGGCUGGAGGAAAACCGUCGUCGGGAGAAAGAAAACAAAGAAAAAAAUAAUUCCGAAAAGAAAAAGAACAAUCAUUAUUUCCAAAUGCGACGCAUCCAAAAACAAAACCUAGAGCUGGA
Teleopsis dalmanni is the source of this 163-nucleotide long non-coding RNA. RefSeq lists it as uncharacterized. The record is from RefSeq and is a predicted model, not a curated record. The transcript is spliced from 3 exons. Lineage: Eukaryota; Metazoa; Arthropoda; Insecta; Diptera; Diopsidae.